This 2073-nucleotide long non-coding RNA is filed under the name Ananas comosus (pineapple). Its description in RNAcentral is "long non-coding RNA (ACOM_LNC040096)". Lineage: Eukaryota; Viridiplantae; Streptophyta; Magnoliopsida; Poales; Bromeliaceae. The record is from RNAcentral.
AAGCCUGACCCCAGAGUAUGCCAGAUCCGCCACAAAUACAGGGAAUCCACUGUUCACACGGACAGAGUCUCCCCUAUAUUUGCACGGCGUCGCACAAGUACAAAAAUACAAACAGUAUACAACCACAACUAAAUGAAUAUACAGAUAGCUAUACAUUCAUACAUUCACCAUUCACACAGUAGUUUUACAUUCGAUGUUUAAACAAAAGUCCACGAAAAAUCUUUUGAAAACUGUUCCAUACGCGAAAACUUUUAUCUUUUAUAAAAGCUACCACGAGGGGUAGAAAACCUUUUAUUUUUUCAAAUCCAGAAAUCCUUUUAUUACAUUCAUGAAAGUCCACAUAUUCCAAUGUAAUAAAAAUACUGAACCAUAUAAACUGACUGAGCUAUAACACAGAAUAGUAGGGAUAAAACUAAACCGAUAACCUGGGUCGGAAGCUCUAUCGACCGCUACGAACGUACCUCACGUCUCGUCCCAAAACUCAACGCCUGCAAUACCUGAAAAAUGGUGGGGGAGGUGAGAACAUGUAAACAUGUCUCCCCUCCCAGUGGGUACCGCAAGCCGACGAGGGCGAGAAGUACUCACCGGAUCAGGAAGAGAUAAACAACAGUAUGGGUAAGUAAAAUACAGUAGCAACGAUAAUGAACGAAUGAGAUAUAUAUAUGAAAGCACAACUACCGCUACUGUAAUGUACAACUGCAAGCAUACAAGGAUAUCAAAACUAUAGUAGCAAGACAACUGUAAAGAAAGAACUAGAAGUAUAUAUGCAACAACCGCUACUAUAGCUAUAUGCGUCAACCGGACGAGAAGUCCAAAAGUACCCAAUCUAAACCGCCGUGUCGGUCUAAGGACCUCAGGCAAAAGCCACUACCUGCUCACACCUGGCAUGUAACCCUAGCACAAAGAGAACACCGCUGGGCUCACGGGUCGGAUGUACGACCACUUUUCCGGAAAAGAACACCCUCCUGCGGGGGAUCAACCCGCUGGUGUACGUGAAAUGCACUCGAGCUGUGGCGAUCAAUGCGGAUAUGAUCAAUAGCCAACCGUCGGCAAUCAGCCGACAAUCACUGCCCCUCUGGGCAUACCGACCGUGUAGGUCAUCAAGUAACAACGUGAACCGACCGAGAUAGGUCAAUGUACGGAAAGUAACGAACGACCAAACAGGUCACCGAUGCAAAUAGGAGAACCGACCAACCAGGUCACAAGUAUAGUAUAUACGAAUGCCAUCUACUCUACCCCUAUACAGGAUACUACACAUAGAACAACCAGGCAGAGUAAAUAAAGAUAGUAUGUAGAUACUGCUCGAUGUCAACUAAAAGUACGAACGCAAGAACCGACCGAUAGGUCACAGGAGUGUAUUCGAUAUAGUCCAGAACUACCGUCAGCACCAGCCGACAAUCCUACCCCUCAGGGUACACCGACCUCAAAGGUCAUCGACGACGGGACUCAUGAAGCUGACUGACUAGGUCACAAACAUACCAAACAGUGGAACUGAGUAAACUAUAAUAAUCCGUCGGCGUUAGCCGACAAUCCCACCCCUUAGGGUAUACCGACCUCAAGGGUCAUCGAACGAAGUACGAGAACCAACCAACCAGGUCAACAGAUACUGAAUGCAACAACAAACCAACUAGGUCAACAGAUACUGAAUGCAACAACAGACCAACUAGGUCAACAGAUACGAAAUGCAACAACCAACCAACUAGAUCAACAGAUAUGCAUAUAUAAAGAGAACUGCUCUACUCCUACUCGGUAUACAAAGCAUACAAACAGCGAGUAGUGUUUAACGAAUAAACAAGGGUGCAAGGCUCAAUAUACUAUGGAUAGUAACAACAGAAGAGCAAGGGUAAGAAACCAUCACCGAGCGUGCACCACUGUACCGACGUCGGAUCGAAGUACCCACCUGUACAAAUGCUGCGCCUGUCUCCUGACUGCAAAAGGACGUCAACCGGACCUAAGGAAGGUCCACCGGGUUAGUGUCUAACCCACAGCUAAUAACCACUAGAUCCACAACCUACAAGCAAACCCAUGGAGAUCGGUUUCCCAAACCGAUCGCCGUAAUACGCCGGAAGUCCC